GACGAACCGUGCGAACGUUGUUCGGAAUCACUGGGCUUAAAGGGCGCGUAGGCGGGCGACCCAGUCGGGGGUGAAAUCUUUCGGCUCAACCGGAAAAUAGCCUUCGAUACUGGUUGCCUGGAGGGGGGUAGGGGCGUGUGGAACUUCCGGUGGAGCGGUGAAAUGCGUUGAUAUCGGAAGGAACUCCGGUGGCGAAAGCGACACGCUGGACCCCGCCUGACGCUGAGGCGCGAAAGCCAGGGGAG
This 245-nucleotide ribosomal RNA is filed under the name uncultured bacterium. RNAcentral's name for it is "partial 16S ribosomal RNA". It matches the Rfam family "Bacterial small subunit ribosomal RNA", at positions 524 to 768 of the family's 1533-position model. The record is from RNAcentral.